CUGAUGUAAGUCCAGCGAUUGGCAUUCGGUUUCCCGGUUUGCUUAUUUGUGUGGAGUCUGACGUAAGUCCAGCGAUUGGCAGUUGGUUUCCUGUGUGUUUUGUUUGGCGCGCGUUAGCCGAGCUACGAGUGCUCUGAUUCUUCCUCUGGUUAGAGAAGAUACGUAUGCAUAGGAUGCGACAUCCUAGCGAGCACGUUUUCC
RNAcentral lists this long non-coding RNA (201 nucleotides) under Lathyrus oleraceus (garden pea). RNAcentral's name for it is "Pisum sativum (pea) long non-coding RNA (PSAT_LNC030836)". The record is from RNAcentral. Lineage: Eukaryota; Viridiplantae; Streptophyta; Magnoliopsida; Fabales; Fabaceae.